Long non-coding RNA from Leopardus geoffroyi (Geoffroy's cat), 405 nucleotides. RefSeq lists it as uncharacterized. The transcript is spliced from 2 exons. NCBI's taxonomy places the organism in Eukaryota, Metazoa, Chordata, Mammalia, Carnivora, Felidae. The record is from RefSeq and is a predicted model, not a curated record.
AAACGCCUGCCUGGUGGAAAUGUUCCAAAGCUCCCGAAAACUGCCUAGGACUGCCUGAUAUCAAGGAGGCGGUGGCACCCCCACCGCCUGGCAGGCCUGGCUCCGGGACGGGCUUCUCCGCGAGAGGCCGAGCUCGCCCCAGGGCGGGAAAGGAAGCCAGAAAGCUCGAGGCGCCAAGGACGGGAGCUUGGCGGGGGCGAUAGAGUCCGAGGCCGGGCAGCCGGCACCCGCCCGGAGCGCAAACGAAAGCGUGAGAGGGAGGGAGCGUCGGAGCCAACCUUUCCAUUUUCCUUUUGGGUUAAUGUUUUCUUCUCCAUUUUAUGACAUUUUACUCGAUUUUACCCGUUUGUAGUUGUAAAGUAAGGAGGUAUUUACUCUUUCUGGAAUUAAAUGAGAGAAAGUUAA